UGGCAUCAAUGAAAGCUCAAAGGUAC
Molecule: non-coding RNA, 26 nt
Filed under: Homo sapiens (human)
Lineage: Eukaryota; Metazoa; Chordata; Mammalia; Primates; Hominidae
Source: RNAcentral